Molecule: unclassified non-coding RNA, 350 nt
Filed under: soil metagenome
Description: partial contains 5.8S ribosomal RNA, internal transcribed spacer 2, and large subunit ribosomal RNA
Rfam family: 5.8S ribosomal RNA (bases 1-120)
Source: RNAcentral
GAUGAAGAACGUAGCGAACUGCGAUAAGUAAUGUGAAUUGCAGAAUUCAGUGAAUCAUCGAGUCUUUGAACGCACAUUGCGCCCCCUGGCAUUCCGGGGGGCAUGCCUGUCCGAGCGUCAUUGCUGCCCUUCAAGCCCGGCUUGUGUGUUGGGUCGUCGUCCCCCCCGGGGGACGGGCCCGAAAGGCAGCGGCGGCACCGCGUCCGGUCCUCGAGCGUAUGGGGCUUUGUCACCCGCUCGAUUAGGGCCGGCCGGGCGCCAGCCGGCGUCUCCAACCUUUUAGUUUACCAGGUUGACCUCGGAUCAGGUAGGGAUACCCGCUGAACUUAAGCAUAUCAAUAAGCGGAGGA